This 1091-nucleotide long non-coding RNA is filed under the name Equus caballus (horse). Its description in RNAcentral is "lncRNA (ENSECAG00000051931.1)". Lineage: Eukaryota; Metazoa; Chordata; Mammalia; Perissodactyla; Equidae. The record is from RNAcentral.
AGUGUCCGAAAAGAUUCUUUUGAAACUGAUGUCAAAGAGUGUACUGCCUAUAUUCUCUUCCAAAAGAAUUAUUGUCUCAGGCCUAAUCUUUAGGUCUUUGAUCCAUUUUGAGUUUAUUUUGGUGUGUGGUGAAAAAGACUGGUCAAUUUUCAAUCUUUUGCAUGUGGCUGUCCAGUUUUCCCAGCACCAUUUGUUGAAGAGACUUUCUUUUCUCCAUUGUAGGCCCUCUGCUCCUUUAUCGAAGAUUAGCUGUCCAUAGAUGUGUGGUUUUAUCUCCGGGCUUUCAAUUCUGUUCCAUUGAUCUGUGGACCUGUUUUUGUACCAGUACCAUGCUGUUUUGAUCACUGUAGCUUUGUAGUAUGUUUUGAAAUCGGGGAUUGUGAUUCUGCCAGCUUUGUUUUUCUUGCUCAGGAGUGCUUUAGCAAUUCACGGUCUUUUGUUGCCCCAUAUGAAUUUUAGGAUUGUUUGUUCAAUUUCUGUGAAGAAUGUUCUUGGGAUUCUGAUUGGGAUAGCAUUGAAUCUGUAUAUUGCUUUAGGUAGUAUGGACAUUUUAACUAUGUUUAUUCUUCCAAUCCAUGUGCAAGGAAUGUCUUUCCAUCUCUUUAUGUCAUCGUCAAUUUCUUUGAAGAAAGUCUUGUAGUUUUCAUUGUAUAGAUCCUUCGCUUCCUUGGUUAAGUUUAUCCCAAGGUAUUUUAUUCUUUUCGUUGCGAUUGUGAAUGGGAUUGAGUUCUUGAGUUCUUUUUCUGUUAGUUCAUUGUUAGUGUAUAGAAAUGCUACUGAUUUAUGCACGUUAAUUUUAUACCCUGCUACUUUGCUGUAGUUGUUGAUUAUUUCUAAUAGUUUUUCUGUGGAUUCUUUGGGGUUUUCUAUAUAUAAGAUCAUGUCGUCUGCAAACAACAAGAGUUUUACUUCUUCAUUACCUAUUUGAAUUCCUUUUAUUUCUUUUUCCUGCCGAAUUGCUCUGGCCAGCACCUCCAGUACUAUGUUGAAUAGGAGUGGUGAAAGUGGGCACCCUUGUCUUGUUCCUGUCCUCAGUGGGAUGGCUUUCAGUUUUUGUCCAUUGAGUAUGAUGUUGGCUGUGGGUCUAUCAU